This 93-nucleotide transfer RNA is filed under the name freshwater metagenome. RNAcentral's name for it is "tRNA-Arg". The record is from RNAcentral.
GGGUCCGUGCCGGAGGUGUUCGCCGCCGCUCCGCUCCGGCCGAGGCCGGGGAGGCCGACGGGUCGGGUGGUCGUGCCACCCGAGCGUGACCCG